Molecule: long non-coding RNA, 1280 nt
Organism: Parus major (Great Tit)
Lineage: Eukaryota; Metazoa; Chordata; Aves; Passeriformes; Paridae
Exons: 3
Source: RefSeq, a predicted model, not a curated record
AAAUUUGAAAACAUUUAAAUUUAUCUUCCUAGAGGAAUCUUAAUAUCAAGAAAGUCUUGCUUGCCAUGUGGAGAGCCAGAGAAAGGAAUCCCAUUGCAUUACCAGAGCCAGAGAUGGGUUUGAGUGUCAGAGAGUGACCUUUUGGAGCAAUCCUUCCAUCCUUUAUGCAGUGACAAGUUUGUUCCUCUUCCCAUGUGAAACUUGGGCCUGUGAUCCCCCUCUGCCCCUCCCAGCAGAGGGUUUGUCAUGGCAGUGGCAAAGGAGCAGAUGGAGGCAGCAGAAGCCCCAGGAUCAGAACCAGCCACAUCAGCAGGCUACAGGAAGGAUGUUUCCUUGUUGAUAAAUCUCGUGUAAAGUGUUUGAUCUGCAUGAAAACGUGUGUAGCUCCCUGUGCAAACCAAGGGGAUUCCAAACUCUCUCUCUGUCCAGACUGGCAAAGCACACUCAGCUCUGUGGAUGGCCUGAGAUGCCCGUAUGCUAUGGAGUAUUUUUGGAUUUUUUUUUGGAUUAAUAUCAUGCUUCAGUGCACCCAUCUGUCUGUGUACUGGGUGCAAGUUUCAAAGGAAGAUAAGUGAUAUACAACCAGCUAAAAAUGCAGGCAAAAAUUAGGACUUCAGCAAUUUGAGUAGAUUUUGAAAAGUAGGGUGCUGCCAGGUUGAAAUGCUCAACAGGUUCAUGCAAUUUUCCAAGUAAAUGGAAGCCAUUUCAUAAAUACAAUUAAUACAAACCUGAGAAGCUGAAUAAGUAAUGCUUCUGGCCCUCCUUGUUCAAAGAGAUCAGGAAAACACAAGAGAGGCAAAAGGCAUUCUGGUGUCAUAACAGCCUGGGAUGUGAGAUAACUGCAGUGAUUUCCCGGAGACUACACAAAUGAUUUCAAAGUAGUUUGGCAGGUCUGCAGUUUGCAGAGCAAAAGCUAUGUCUGUAUUUUCCCACCGACACAUUUUAACCUACCCUGCAAGCUCUGCUUCAAAAGUCAAGUCUCUAGCUCUCUGAAAGCUGUGUCUUAAAUCCAUUUGGAGCAGCGGAUUCACUGUCUGUGUCGGGCUUGGCAAUGCAAGCUAUUAGCCUAGAAGUUACUGAGUGAAAUCAAAAAGCAAAAAGCCUCUAAGAAACUUAACCCACCCAUUUUAGCAGUCACUAAACCAGCUAACAAAUAGAGAUGGUUUAAAUUGCUUCACAAUGCCAGCUGCUUGCAGAAUACCUACCAUCCUCUUGAGAGGUUAAAAAAUAAUCUAUUUGCAGCCCUAAGGUUGAAGAAUGCAAUGAAUUUAGCAAGCUCA